This 724-nucleotide ribosomal RNA is filed under the name Glomus sp. rp15. RNAcentral describes it as "eukaryotic LSU rRNA". It matches the Rfam family "Eukaryotic large subunit ribosomal RNA", at positions 58 to 633 of the family's 3401-position model. Lineage: Eukaryota; Fungi; Glomeromycota; Glomeromycetes; Glomerales; Glomeraceae. The record is from RNAcentral.
AAAGAAACUAACAAGGAUUCCCCUAGUAACGGCGAGUGAAGAGGGAAGAGCUCAAAUUUUAAAUCUGCCUUGUUUCAAGGUCGAGUUGUAAUUUGAAGAAGCGUUUUCUUGGGCUCGCGGCCGGUAGAAGUUCUUUGGAACAGGACAUCAUAGAGGGUGACAAUCCCGUCUGCGACCGGUCGUGCGUUCAUCUACGAUACGCUUUCAAAGAGUCGAGUUGUUUGGGAUUGCAGCUCCAAAUGGGUGGUAAACAUCACCUAAGGCUAAAUAUUGGCGAGAGACCGAUAGCGAACAAGUACCGUGAGGGAAAGAUGAAAAGAACUUUGAAAAGAGAGUUAAACAGUACGUGAAAUUGUUGAAAGGGAAACGAUUGAAGUCAGUCGUGCUGGCGCGAAAUCAACCCUCUCGUCGAGAGGACACAUGGCGUGGCGAGCCUCAAAACCGUCACGAAGCGUGAACUCUUGGCGAAAAGGAGCACUUUCGUGUCCGCUGGUUAACAUCAAUUUCGAACGUCAUAAAAAGGCUGGAGGGAUGUGGCUCCUUCGGGAGUGUUAUAACCUUUAGCGGAAUGUGGUGGUCGGGAUUGAGGAUUGCAACGAAUACCUUUAGGGCUGUUCCACCUGGCCUCUCUUUGGUAUCCUGGUGACGACAGCUUGCUGACGUUGUUAGGAUUCGCCAUUGAACAGGCUAGAGUGUGAGCAAAUUCGUUAAGGAUGUUGACGUA